Molecule: non-coding RNA, 1369 nt
Organism: Sus scrofa (pig)
Lineage: Eukaryota; Metazoa; Chordata; Mammalia; Artiodactyla; Suidae
Source: RefSeq, a predicted model, not a curated record
GACACGGGACAGAAAAUCCAACUCAACCGAUCUGGAGCUGAAGAUGAGAUGGAUCCUACUCAAGACACAGGGAUAAGAGGGAUCUAUUUUCAAAGGAAACAAGACAGUCUUAGCAAAAGAAGAGAAAUGGAGGCGACUUUUUGGCAAAUACUGCAUCUUCAGCCAGGAGAAGUUGGCUGAGGACAAAAGGGCUUUUGAAGCGGUGUGGAAUUGCUGCAUUCUGUGGUAUGGAGAACCCUCCAUACUGUUCUCUACAGUAGGCUGCACCAACUCACAUUCCCACGAACAAGAUCUUAGUGCAGAGCAUACAGCACAAAGUAUGUGAGGAUCACGUUUUAUUGUGUCCAGGUGACAUUGGGAAGGUGCGUGGACUUGGAUGUCCCAUAUAACGAAUCUGGAUCCCUUAACUCUGUGAUUAAUUGGCAGUGAGGUCUGAGACAGAACAUCUUGUCUGAGCCCCAUUCCCUGUUUGUAAAAUGGGAAUGAGAGUAAUGGCUUCCCAAGGUGCCUUUUUUGAGGAUUGUCACAUUUAAUCCUUUCACUGUCAUUAUCACUCUCACUAUUUGGGUUUUACAGAUGAGAAAACUGAGGUUCAGGGGAGCUGAUUUGCCUCACCCCAAAUCACACAGCUACUCCUUGAAAGACAGGAGUCCCUUCCGGGCAAGCCUGCUCUGUUUGACUUCAUAGCAGACUUUUCAGGUCUGUGGUGUGAAACGUAAUGCGCUGAAUCACCGAGCACAGUGCCAGAAACGGAGCAGGUCCUCUCUGCUGCUGUUGGGUGAUUAACUGGUGAUAGAGGGUUCGAGGCAGACUUGCAAAGCUGUGCUCAGAACAAAAGGCCCAAUGUCUGGAUCAUGUUUCUCUGACUCUUCUUUUCUGAGCCCACUGCCAUUUCUCCCUCCACUCAGAAGAAAGGGCAGUCCUGGAGCCACGAUUCAGCAGCCUCAGUGUUUAGGGGGCAACAAAGCCAACACGAAACAGAGGCGGUUUUGCUCCUUGAAGCCCAACUCCAUCCCAGGAACAGUGGUGGCCUGAUGCCUUCCUCUCAUCUCACAUCACACCUCAAUCUGUCAUUGAUUGGAUCUAGAUGAAGCACCCUGUCUUUGGAGCAGGAUCAAUUUAGCCGAUUUGUCUCAUUUAGAGGCUGCUGAGAUCAGUCCCUUGAAGCUCAGGAUUGGCAAAGGGCAAAUGUCUUUAUGUGAGUUUGUAUUUAAUUAAACUGCUCCUGGUUCAAUUAGUAAAAUUCUCCCCCUGGUUGCCAGACACAGGUGUGAGCAAAAAGUGACCUCCGAAGCUGGACAACUGUGGUUAAAUAUGGCCAUCGGGUAAAAGAGUGCAUCUCAGGGCAGAGAAUUUUUUUUUUCCUUCA